Molecule: small RNA, 17 nt
Filed under: Arabidopsis thaliana (thale cress)
Lineage: Eukaryota; Viridiplantae; Streptophyta; Magnoliopsida; Brassicales; Brassicaceae
Description: ATSL277970
Source: RNAcentral
AUUUUUUUCCUUCUUCU